Molecule: small RNA, 1032 nt
Filed under: Histoplasma capsulatum
Lineage: Eukaryota; Fungi; Ascomycota; Eurotiomycetes; Onygenales; Ajellomycetaceae
Also listed under: 1 other name
Description: hypothetical RNA
Source: RNAcentral
GUACUGAAUCGCGCGCCGUGUUAACCCUGCCCAGGGGAGCAAUAUAAGCAAGCGCAUAAAGUUGAUCUUUGUUGAUCUUUCUUCUUACCUGAGGAAAACCCGGAUCGAGACGAUCGAGUCUGACUGGCUCGCUUGGCUGGCCGGCUGUGCUAUUUAGGCGGUCCGUGGUGUUUUGAUGUUGAUAGUACGCGGGAUAUAUAUACAUAUAUAUAGGGAAGGGUAGGGGUAUGUGCGAGGACUUGGCUUUCUUGGAAAAAUAUCGUUAAAUAAGUGUGGACGGUGGAGGGCGCGUAUAUAUAUCUAUGUAUAUAUACAUCUAUACAUGCACGCACUCACAUCAAAAGAGCGAGAGUGAGACCCUGACCCCGACUUUCCGCAUAUACAUACAUCCUUUUCCGGUAAGGAUUUAAGAGGAAAUAAAAAGAAAGAACAUGGCACGACUCAGCCGCACCACACCUAAGGCCGUGGUGGAUACCAGAGGAGAAGAUUCCAACAUCGACGAUACGUACAACACCAAUACAAACACCAAGUCUAUGUACAGCUACAACUACACCGACGAAGACAAGUCCUGGGCGGAAGCCCGGACGCGCCGUGGGGCAACCUCUCGCUCCCUGAAGGCAGCCACCACAACCACCAGCUCUACAAACGCAAACGCAAACGCAGGCGCAGCAAGAAGCGGAAAACAGCAAAACGCCCCGGCCGACCCCCGAAGCCCAACCAAGGCUAAGACCAAACCCACACCCAAGACAGGUACAAGCACAGGCACAGGCAUAGGUUCUAAUACCAAAACCACCCCUGCCGUGGAGGAUGUCGUCGCAACGCACACUGAAACCCUUAUUAGCCCAGCACAACUUCCAAGAAGCACCCGUCACAGACAACGUCAACGCCAGCUGGGCCAUCGGCACGCGGAUGCCCUCCUCAUGCCGUUCUCAGCACCGACGCGGGCGGAGACGGUGAUUGGUAAGUAUGAUGGUUCGACGCCUGGGCGCGGAAUGGGAGAUGUGGAAAUUGCGCCGUUGCCGGAGCAGUUGG